Molecule: ribosomal RNA, 449 nt
Filed under: uncultured bacterium
Lineage: Bacteria
Description: bacterial SSU rRNA
Rfam family: Bacterial small subunit ribosomal RNA
Source: RNAcentral
UGCCAGACUCCUACGGGAGGCAGCAGUGGGGAAUAUUGCACAAUGGGGGAAACCCUGAUGCAGCGACGCCGCGUGAGCGAUGAAGUAUUUCGGUAUGUAAAGCUCUAUCAGCAGGGAAGAAGAUGACGGUACCUGACUAAGAAGCCCCGGCUAACUACGUGCCAGCAGCCGCGGUAAUACGUAGGGGGCAAGCGUUAUCCGGAUUUACUGGGUGUAAAGGGAGCGUAGACGGCGAUGCAAGCCAGAUGUGAAAGCCCGGGGCUCAACCCCGGGACUGCAUUUGGAACUGUGUGGCUGGAGUGUCGGAGAGGCAGGCGGAAUUCCUAGUGUAGCGGUGAAAUGCGUAGAUAUUAGGAGGAACACCAGUGGCGAAGGCGGCCAACUGGGCUUUAACUGACGCUGAGGCUCGAAAGUGUGGGGAGCAAACAGGAUUAGAUACCCUCGUAAAG